Molecule: long non-coding RNA, 1994 nt
Organism: Felis catus (domestic cat)
Lineage: Eukaryota; Metazoa; Chordata; Mammalia; Carnivora; Felidae
Exons: 3
Source: RefSeq, a predicted model, not a curated record
CAGGCCGCAGACGCACUGUGGGUGGAGGGGCUCGCCCGUCCCACACCGCAGCACGGCCUCCCUGCCCUUCACAUUCUGAUCUCAUCCUCUACCCUCAGGCCCGGACAGUGCCUGCUGUGUGGCACCCCCCGUGCCCCCCCAGCGGCCAGGCUGUCCUCUCAGCACCCAGGGAGUUUCCAGACCGGUUGCCCCAUCUGGCCCCUGGGCCACUUCCCCUCCCCCCACUCCUUCUCAGACCUCCUGGGGGGCGGGGGGAGGGGCUCUGGGUCCUCACACCCUGUUCACGCAUCUGCCUCCUGCCCAAGAGAGGGUGCCUCCGCAGAGCUAGCCAAAGGCUCAUGGCUGAGGAUGGGGAGGCCAGGGGCCCGGAAAGGCCUUGGAGCCGACUCAGGGCAGCCUCUGGCCCUUCCCAGGGGCACUUGGGGCCAGGGUCUGGGGCUGAGCCCGGCUCCUCCUGGGCAGGGACAGUAACAGCCACCCGGUGGGACUCCGAGAUGGCCUCACCCCCCUGGUGGCAGCCUGGGCUGGCCAGGUGGCCUUCCUCCCACACAGAGUCCAGCCCUGACCUCCAGGCUGCAUCACAUCCCAGUCUGCCGACACGGCAGAAACUCGUAGCAAACCACGGCUGUGGGCACCGUCAUUCUCAGGACCAGUCCUCAAGGCCGCCACUGGGCUCUGGCACAGGCUACGUCCUCUUCCAAGAUGUCCCUUCUCCUUGCGCAUUCGAGCUGGUGCUCCCCGGGCACCCCUUCCUGAGGCCCCACCUGCCCUAGUGCCCCCACCCCACCCAGGCCAAAGACAGGUCCAGUCCUGCCAGUGCUGGCUUCUACCCCUCCAGCCACAGGCACCAGGGCACAGGUGGUGGCGGGCUGAGCCAGAGGGUAAAUGCCAACGGAGCCACACCGGGGCCUUCCGGAAAGAACGCAGUCAGCAUGAAGUCUGCAGACACAGCCGAGACUGGCCCCUCCGAGCCCCACAGCAACGACUCCCCGGCCUUUGUCGGGGUGACUCUAACUGGUGAACACGCUGUACACGCUGGGGCACGUCUGACGGGGGCAGUGAGCCCGGUGGGGCCGCGGUAGUCGGAGCCCAUGUGGAGGAGCUGCCGUCAACAGGGCCUGAUGGGGCCCGGAGUCCGGAGCAGCUCCCAGAAGGGAGCACGUCUUUCCUGAGCUGGCCGGGCCAGGCCGGGGAGCAAACACACACGUUCUCCGUCCAUCCCAGGCUGCCUGACGCCCACCCGCCUUCCUCCUUCCGAGCACAUUGAAAGGCACGCUGCCCAAAAGUCACAGCAUGUCGUGCUCAAGCACCCCCCCCCGCCCCCCACCGCAGGGUGGCCGUGUGGCGUUCCAACCGCUCACACGACCCUGCUCCCGAAGCCGUGCUCCCCGCCAUCGAGUGGCCUGCUCCUCCUGUCUGGCGAGUGGUGGACCGGAGCCGGGCAGGCGGCACUGAAGUCUCGGCACGGGGCACGGGCCGCGGCACAGCCUACGUCCUGUCCGACGAAAGCAGCCAGGACUCGUGUGCCCGGGACAGCCGGUGCCUCACGGGGACCGUCGCCUUGACCUGACACCGUGAGCCGAAGAUGCCCCUUCUGGUGGCCGCUCGCGAGCCGACAACUCCAGCACGUGGCUCGCCCGGUAGGCUGCAGGUGACAGAAUCUCUCAGAGAAGGCAGUUCGGGCAGAAAAGGAGGUUGGCAGCUCCCGUGCAUGAGACGCCAGGCAAGUGAGCCUUCAGGACCGGCUCGAUCCAGUCCACCGGAGAGGGCCACGCUGUUUCCUCCCGCUCUGGCGGCUAUCAUUUCUGCCGUUUGGCUGCCUUCUCAGGCUCUGUGAGGCACGGGUGAUGGCCCUCGGUGCACCUCGUCAUGACGGGAAGAAAGGAACCUACUUGCCUCGACCACAAAUUCUAGAAACAGUCACACUGACUGCCACUGGGACCCCUGCUGUUCGGGGCUGAAUUGUGUCUCCAAGAAAGAUGUGGAAAUCCUAA